UUAUUGAAAACUGGUGGACUGGGGCUUUAUUUUAAUUUUAAAUGUGAACUAAAAUUAACUUUUUUCGGUUAUGUGUGACAUGAUCUCCAUCAGGUGACACUUUCACCGUUCGCCGUUUCCCAGAUGAAGUUAGU
Caenorhabditis elegans is the source of this 134-nucleotide non-coding RNA. NCBI's taxonomy places the organism in Eukaryota, Metazoa, Nematoda, Chromadorea, Rhabditida, Rhabditidae. The record is from Ensembl.